UACCAUCCUGAGGCACAACCUGAAAAACAACCAAUGGAUUCAGUCAAAGAGACUGACUUUUGAUGGACUUAUUCGAAGAUUGAUAUUGCUUGGAUUUGCUGCUUUGAUUUCCAGAGAGGAUUUUUAACCUGCAGCCCAACACACAACCUGAAAGACCAGACUGUGCUGCAGCUUUGGCAUGAUAAAAAAAAAAUGUAUAGUUAGACUGCAAAUCUGCCAAUAUGUACAACUUACCUGGUGGUUGCUGCUGGCAGCUUGGUAAGCAGCAGUCAAAGGUCGAAUAGGAAGCCGAGAGGGUGUGGCAGGUUUUACUGACACAUCCAUUUUUGAUGUUUCCAUGUGUCUCAUUGUAUUUUCCUUCCCACAGUCUUCCAUUAAACUUUUCUCUAUA
This is a long non-coding RNA of Nematostella vectensis (starlet sea anemone), 391 nucleotides long. RefSeq lists it as uncharacterized. Lineage: Eukaryota; Metazoa; Cnidaria; Anthozoa; Actiniaria; Edwardsiidae. The record is from RefSeq and is a predicted model, not a curated record. The transcript has 2 exons.